UGAGGAGUUUCCUACCGUGUCUGCCUUAUAUCUCAAAGCUCAGUUUUCCUCGACAGUCAGAUCCUGAUAAAGAAAUCAGGUUCUUGGUGAAUCUGUUCUGUGCAGCAGCAGAGAGAGAACAGCAGACAGGAGAGAAGAUACUGGAGCUGUUAUCAUCACUGUGCAGUUAUGAAACAUUCUCUUUUA
This is a long non-coding RNA of Thunnus maccoyii (southern bluefin tuna), 186 nucleotides long. RefSeq lists it as uncharacterized. Lineage: Eukaryota; Metazoa; Chordata; Actinopteri; Scombriformes; Scombridae. The transcript has 2 exons. The record is from RefSeq and is a predicted model, not a curated record.